This 74-nucleotide transfer RNA is filed under the name Mus musculus (house mouse). It matches the Rfam family "tRNA". Rfam says of the family: Transfer RNA (tRNA) molecules are approximately 80 nucleotides in length. Their secondary structure includes four short double-helical elements and three loops (D, anti-codon, and T loops). The record is from Rfam by way of RNAcentral. Lineage: Eukaryota; Metazoa; Chordata; Mammalia; Rodentia; Muridae.
GUGGGUGUAGCUCAGUUGGUAGAGUGCUUUCCUGGCAUAGAUGAAGCCCUGGGUUCCAGCCCCAGCAACAUACA